CAGGUGGUGCAUGGCUGUCGUCCGCUCGUGUCGUGAGAUGUUUGGCUAAGUCCCGCAACGAGCGCAACCCCUAUGUUCAGUUGCCAGCAAGUCAAGUUGGGGACUCUGGACAGACUGCCUGCGCAAGCAGAGAGGAAGGAGGGGACGACGUCAAGUCAUCAUGGCCCUUACGCCCAGGGCGACACACGUGCUACAAUGGCGCAUACAGCGGGUAGCGAACCGGCAACGGUGAGCCAACCUCUAAAAGUGCGUCUCAGUUCGGAUCGGGGUCUGCAACUCGACCCCGUGAAGCUGGAAUCGCUAGUAAUCGCGCAUCAGCCAUGGCGCGGUGAAUACGUUCCCGGACCUUGUACACACCGCCCGUCAAGCCAUGGAAGUCGGGUAGACCUGAAGGCGGUAACCGUAAGGAGCCGUUUAGGGUAGAACCGGUAACUGGGGCUAAGUCGUAACAAGGUAGCCGUACCUGAAGGUGCG
RNAcentral lists this ribosomal RNA (474 nucleotides) under uncultured Nitzschia. RNAcentral describes it as "partial Bacterial small subunit ribosomal RNA". It matches the Rfam family "Bacterial small subunit ribosomal RNA", at positions 1035 to 1516 of the family's 1533-position model. The record is from RNAcentral. Lineage: Eukaryota; Bacillariophyta; Bacillariophyceae; Bacillariales; Bacillariaceae.